Long non-coding RNA from Osmia bicornis bicornis, 4800 nucleotides. RefSeq lists it as uncharacterized. The transcript has 4 exons. The record is from RefSeq and is a predicted model, not a curated record. Lineage: Eukaryota; Metazoa; Arthropoda; Insecta; Hymenoptera; Megachilidae.
UCAUUAAAGCAUCGAUCCGAUUAUAAUUGAUAAUUUGAUCAUUGAAGUAACUAGGAUUUUCAUCCUAGGGCACCCUAGGGGGGCGUCUGGUAACCUAGCUACGCCGGAUGUAGGGAACAGGUGGAACAGGUGGAACAGGAUGCAAGGAACGGGACAACGGAACGACGCCAUUGUUUUUGAUUCAAUCGUUAAAAAGUGAAUCGUUUUAAUUAUUGUUUGAAUUAAAAAAUGUUUGAAGACGUCGAAGGAAAAAAUCUUGAAACAUUGGUGCUUCUGGAGCGUCUCAAGAUCGACUGAAAUAUGCAGCAGCAUAACCUGUACCAGUUAAAAAGGAUAUCAUAUUCUACGGAGGUAAAAAUGUUAUGAAAAAUAGAGGGAGCUCGAACACGAAUGCCGUGAACUCGAAUUUAUGCAAUAUUCAAAAUCUGUUUUACAAGUCGCUUAAAAUACAGUGCGAGUACCGAACUCGUCCCGUAUCAUACAUACAUGCAUACGUAUACGUUUCUACAUACAGUUUUUAUUUUGUCAGGUAAAAAGGUAAAGAGGACGCCCGAGCGCAAGGGAAAGGUCGCCGCAGUGAAAAGUUGGAAAAUUUAGGUUGCCCUAAUCGUGGACUAACUUAUUAGAACACAACUCGUAAAUACAAUGAGAAGAGGAUUAUUAAUAUUUAAAAGGUAUCCAUCAUCCAUGGAUGGAUAGAACAAUUCGCUAUUAUGCUAAUGUACAUACGUCAUGUAAAAAGGUGAAUGCAAAGGUUUGGGGAGCAUGAAAGAUGAGGACAGGCGGUGCAAGCCGAGUACCCUCUUGCCCCUGUGUGUCAUCCCGGGGGCUAACUUUCCAGUUCUGCAGUGUACACGUAUCUGGCUGGUUGAAUGCGAACGGGAGAAUUCAGAAACGCGAAAUAAUCCCUUGUUUUAUGAAUCCAGCAGAGCGCGGGUACGUAGAUACGCGCGUACAGGUAUACGUGGACGUCGAAGUUAACGAAGAGCUUGUAGGGGAACAAAAGCCCGUUGUUAUCCGGGAAAGGGUAAUUGUUCGAUCCGGCUAGGUAACAUCAAAUUUCUGUUUGCGAAAAUCUAUAGCCAUUUAGCUGCCGAAUCCCGUGGCCGCUAUUAUCUUUGGUUAAAUAUGAAAUAUAACAGGAGAGGAGAGAAUCGCUGUGAAGAAUAACGAAAUGAUUAAUUCCUCUUGAGCGAUUCCUUUCAAGCAAUGCCCGCUUACCCAUGGUGCACCCGGGUGACACGAUACGCGCGACAGGGAGGAGGAGAUCGGAUGGCAGGUGACGGCUGGAAUCAUUUUUAAGCGAUCUAAUUCUUUCACGUUUUCCUUUUCGAGCGAACAAUGAUUUAUCGCGUCGUAAAUUUUUCAAGAGGAUUUCAUACAAAAGAGAAGUUGGCGAAUCAGAAAGAAUAGGAGGAAAGAAGGAUAGAGUGGAGAUAAAGAAAGAAAAAUAGAAACUGAAACGAGAGACGGCGCAGGUUGUAGGGAACGGCGGGCGGGUGAGAGGCGUGCCGCGAGAAAUGUAGAGCAGAAAAUGAAAGCCGUCGAUGUGGAAACUAGAAAAAAAAAAAAAAAAGAUGUAGAUAAAUGAACGAAUAGAUAAAUGGACGUGGAUCGGCAACCAGAUAAGCAGAUGAACAACCGGAUAAACCCUUCUAUUUUUCGUUCGUCUCGAUAACGAAAAAUAUAUAGAGACAGAUACGAAACAGGGAUGUAAAGAAUAGUAGCGAGAGAAUGAGGAAGAAAUUGUCGAGAGGAGAGUACUGCUAAUAUCCUGGGGGCGGUCGUGGGAUAGGGUGCACCUGCGCGUAUGACAGAUACGCCCCUGGCAUAAAGGCGACAUUUAGGUCACCGGCUUUUACCGCGGCAGACUACACAUGCAGAGACCGGCCUUGCCAAUGAUCGUUUUCACUACUAACACCAACGUUCCAAAGAAUUUUCAGACUCCGCAUUAUCCGUUACCGUUGGAAAAUUAAUCCUUCUGCAGAAGCGUGCGCCUAAUUUUCCUCGAACCAUCGUCCUUGUACAUCUCUCUACCUUCGUUAAAAAAAACUAAUGCUCGAACAACGUAAGAAGAAUAUCACGAAGGGUAAAUAAGAAGAAAUUGUAACGCCAAUCGAUUGCAUCUAACUAAUGUGCACUGAUGCACAUAUAAUGUAUAGCACUUUGAGCAGAGUAAACGGUGGAUGGAAAACUCCCAUCCAUCAGAAUGCAUGCAUAUAGCUUGGUCGUUCUACGUAUUUAACGAUUGAAUGCCAUAGUUUAAUUAUGAAGCACUUUACCAUGGAAUAAAUCACAAAAGGAUAAAUCUUAUAAAGAUCGUUCAUCGAUGCUCCUCUUCUUGGCAGGCUGAAUAAUGUAUCGCAACGAGAGGGUAUUACAAUUGAUGGAAUCAAGUGCAUCGAGAUGACCUAAAAAAAUUCAUUCUUAUCACCGACGUCAGUGGAUACAGUUUCGAAACUUUUCCCUUUGCCACCGGCUGUUUAAUUAUUAUGUACCUUUAUGUUAUGCAAAUACCCAUUGUUCGUUUGCUUUUCCAGAAACGAAAGUUCUCGCCGAGGUUGAGUUGUGACCCGCUCGAUCCAGCGGUUUGCACCCCUUUAACAUUGUCACAACUAUUCUGUCAUCGAGGGAUGAGUUUACCAAGCGACAAUAAUUUGACAACCGUGCACCGAGAAGCGACGCGUAGCACAUAACAAGGGGAAAAUUAUCGUCCUGACGCCAAUUUCGAUCCUGACAAGGCACCGCCAGCGACGCCAGUGUACUUCGGUUCCCUAAGCCGAAGACACUUCCGCAAGGAUAUCGGCGAUUCCUUCGCUCUCAAACGAACAAGUUGAAUCUUUGAAAAUUUCACUGCUUUAUUUUGGGAAUCCAAGGAGGACCUAAAGGAACCGAAGAAAGUCCAUCCUGGGCAUCGUUUAAUGUUGAACACACAGCACGAUACAGGAAACUGUCUCGACGGGAAUACGAAACAGGUAAUCGACCGAUAUAUAGUAUUAUUGAUUAUCCGUCUAUCGCGCGGCGAAGCGAAUUUCGAUAUCUGAAAUGUCUCUCUGGCGUGCAUUGAAAAAUGAACUCGGUCCAAGGGAUGAGAACAGUUCGAGGUGCGUAAACAAAAUACAGCAAUGGCCAUUUUGAUAUUAAUUCUUAAAAGAACUCUAUGAUAAAUUGAAAUCAUCGCAAUAUUAUCGAACGCAAGUUGAACCUUGCCGCGAUUUUACUUAAAUGUAAAUACAGAACAGUGAGUGUUGCAACGUCAAACGUAGACUUGAUUGAACGUACACGUCAAAAAGAAGUUGUAAUCACCGAGGCUUUGCGAAUAUUCAAAGCGUCAAACGACCGAAAUAUUUUCCCCGAAGAGGAAAUAUUCCGUGGAAAGUUGAAUACGACGCGGUACCGCGGGAAAGGCGUACACGCAGCCGGUGUUUAACAAGGGUAGAGGGAGGCAUAUCGGAAAAUGUCGACACGAUAGAAAAGAGAGUAUCGCGGAUAAUGGGGUGGGUGUGUAUCAGUCUUUGCGAUAAGUUAUUGCUGAAUCAGUCGUUGUUCCAUAGCGGAAGCAAUCCCGCCAAAAUAAAGGCAAAAGCAUCGUCUGCAAAGUUUUGCUAGAGUGUCGAGUUACAAUUUUUCUUCUCCUAUCUUUUUUUAUAUAUAUUGCUUUCUAUAUCUGCUAAAAAAAUAGCGAGUAAUUUCAAUCGGUCGAAACGAACUCUUCUUUUCCCAUAUUUUUCAUUUUGUUUUAUUACUUUCUAAACGCACCAUUGAAAUGCGAAUAAAUAUCGGAAUUCUCGUCGUCGCCAAAUCCUCGAUAUUUUGCUUCGACUGUGAUCGGUUACGAUCGUAUAUUAAAAAUAAAAAAUAAAAUAAAAGGAAGGGGAAAAAGCGCUCCUACGGGAAUCGUCUCGCGGAUGAAAGGCUGGUAGUGAAUAAAAAAUCAGGCAGGAAUUCGAAUGACGAAUCGCGGUGGCGAUCCAUUAUAAAUAAAGAGCGAGGCAAACAAAAACCACCGAUGUAUGUGUGCAUGUUUUUUUUCGCCGUCCCUCUAUAGAUAGAUUAACAAAUUAACGAACGUUCGAAAAAAGCGAGGCAAAGCAGGUCACUUUCAAUCAACAGCGUCCGCUACCCGUCUCAUUCUCUUUCCCCUUUCUUUUUGUUUCGAACGCCAGAAACAAGUGUGCCGUUCGUUUUUCCAAUUUGCCAUAAAUUCUGAAAAAAAGGUUCGACCAUCGGAGGAGGAGGAGCGGGGAAGACGGGACAGAAUUACCCAGUCUUUUUUUGUCAAUGCGUUCGUACGGUAUUAUUCAGGACCCUUUGUAAAAGGGCCAGCCGAAUCGCAAUGAUAAAUUCGAAGCGUAACGCGAAUAAUCGUCCAUACGAACAAAAAGCGCGUCCAGGACAAAAGAGCGCGAAACUCGAAGGGUUGGGGGGUGGAAAAAUAAUCGCGAUAGCUCCUCCUCCAUCGGUUCCGGGACGUUUAAUUCGCGGCGAGGAUAGAGCUGGAGGGGCAGGGGAAAAACGAGAAAGCGAGGCCGGACCGAAUUAAUGCGAAAAUUUAAUGCAGCUGUCACGUGUCCGGCCAUUACUAAAUCUACCUGUAACGUCAUUAAAUCGGCGCUACCUGAAUGUACACGCGUUUUGUUUCCACCUACGCCGAGCGUAUUGCAACGCGCCACCCGUUUCACACUCGCUAAUUGUAAUAAUUUUCUCGCUCCCAAGCGUAACGUAGAAGUCUAAAGUAUCGUAGACGAAAUUUCAGGUAUUGUACAGCUCGUUUCAAGGCUAUGAACAGCGACUAAAUCG